GGUGUGAGUGCAGGGCCUCCACCUGUGCCCAGGGCCAGGGCCGGUGGGGGCUCAGGGCAGAGCAGCAGGAGCGUGGGGUGUGUGCUGGCAUGUGGGACCGGAGUGGCCAGCAGGCAGGUGGAGAGGUGAGGAGAGGUGGCGGUGGUGGCAAGAAGCUGUGGCAACAAGCGGUGGUGCAUUUGUGACUGCUGCUGUUCUAUGUCUGGUCUCAGCGCAAGUGAUGGGAAGGAAGUGAAAGGAGAAAGGAUAUGACUAAGGACUUGGCUGAAAAGGCCUUUUGUUCUCAUUACAUUUUGUUUUUAAAAUAAAAAUGAUCUUCACA
Molecule: long non-coding RNA, 322 nt
Organism: Alligator sinensis (Chinese alligator)
Lineage: Eukaryota; Metazoa; Chordata; Crocodylia; Alligatoridae
Exons: 2
Source: RefSeq, a predicted model, not a curated record